Molecule: ribosomal RNA, 482 nt
Filed under: uncultured bacterium
Lineage: Bacteria
Description: partial 16S ribosomal RNA
Rfam family: Bacterial small subunit ribosomal RNA
Source: RNAcentral
AUUGAACGCUGGCGGCAUGCCUUACACAUGCAAGUCGAACGGUAACGGGCCUUCGGGUGCUGACGCGUGGCGAACGGGUGAGUAAUACAUCGGAACGUGCCCGAUCGUGGGGGAUAACGAGGCGAAAGCUUUGCUAAUACCGCAUACGAUCUACGGAUGAAAGCAGGGGACCGCAAGGCCUUGCGCGGACGGAGCAGACGAUGGCAGAUUAGGUAGUUGGUGGGCUAAAAGCUUACCAAGCCGACGAUCUGUAGCUGGUCUGAGAGGAUGAGGAGCCACACUGGGACUGAGCCGCGGCCCAGAGUCCGACGGGAGGCAGCAGUGGGGAAUGUUGGCCAAUGGGCGCAAUCCUGAUCCAGCCAUGCCGCGUGCAGGAUGAAGGCCUUCGGGUUGUAAACUGCUUUUGUACGGAACGAAAAGUCUUCUUUUAAUACAGGAGGGUCAUGACGGUACCGUAAGAAUAAGCACCGGCUAACUACGUG